UACGGAGGGGGCUAGCGUUGUUCGGAAUUACUGGGCGUAAAGCGCACGUAGGCGGAUCAGCAAGUUAGAGGUGAAAGCCCGGGGCUCAACCCCGGAACAGCCUUUAAGACUGCAUCGCUAGAAUCCGGGAGAGGUGAGUGGAAUUCCGAGUGUAGAGGUGAAAUUCGUAGAUAUUCGGAAGAACACCAGUGGCGAAGGCGGCUCACUGGACCGGCAUUGACGCUGAGGUGCGAAAGCGUGGGGAGCAAACAGG
RNAcentral lists this ribosomal RNA (253 nucleotides) under uncultured bacterium. RNAcentral's name for it is "partial 16S ribosomal RNA". It matches the Rfam family "Bacterial small subunit ribosomal RNA", at positions 524 to 776 of the family's 1533-position model. The record is from RNAcentral.